AACGAACGCUGGCGGCAGGCCUAACACAUGCAAGUCGAGCGCCCUUUCGGGGGAGCGGCGGACGGGUGAGUAACGCGUGGGAAUAUGCCCUUCUCUACGGAAUAGCCUCGGGAAACUGAGAGUAAUACCGUAUACGCCCUGUGGGGGAAAGAUUUAUCGGGGAAGGAUUAGCCCGCGUUGGAUUAGGUAGUUGGUGGGGUAAUGGCCUGCCAAGCCGACGAUCCAUAGCUGGUUUGAGAGGAUGAUCAGCCACACUGGGACUGAGACACGGCCCAGACUCCUACGGGAGGCAGCAGUGGGGAAUCUUAGACAAUGGGGGCAACCCUGAUCUAGCCAUGCCGCGUGAGUGAUGAAGGCCUUAGGGUUGUAAAGCUCUUUCAGCUGGGAAGAUAAUGACGGUACCAGCAGAAGAAGCCCCGGCUAACUCCGUG
Molecule: ribosomal RNA, 431 nt
Filed under: uncultured bacterium
Lineage: Bacteria
Description: partial 16S ribosomal RNA
Rfam family: Bacterial small subunit ribosomal RNA
Source: RNAcentral